This 393-nucleotide ribosomal RNA is filed under the name uncultured bacterium. RNAcentral's name for it is "partial 16S ribosomal RNA". It matches the Rfam family "Bacterial small subunit ribosomal RNA", at positions 523 to 918 of the family's 1533-position model. The record is from RNAcentral.
AUACGGAGGAUCCGAGCGUUAUCCGGAUUUAUUGGGUUUAAAGGGUGCGUAGGUGGGCCUGUAAGUCAGUGGUGAAAGUUUGCAGCUUAACUGUAAAAUUGCCGUUGAAACUGCCGGUCUUGAGUGCAAAUGAGGUAAGCGGAAUGUGUUGUGUAGCGGUGAAAUGCUUAGAUAUGACACAGAACACCGAUUGCGAAGGCAGCUUACUGGGAUGCCACUGACACUGAGGCACGAAAGCGUGGGUAUCAAACAGGAUUAGAUACCCUGGUAGUCCACGCAGUAAACGAUGAGUACUAGUUGUCUGCGAUAUAUUGUAGGUGACACAGCGAAAGCGUUAAGUAUUCCACCUGGGGAGUACGUUCGCAAGAAUGAAACUCAAAUGAAUUGACGGGG